CUCUCUCUCUCUCUCUCUCUCUCUCUCUUGAUGCCGACGUCCUUUCGGCGUUAUCUGUGGUAGACUGGCAGGGCUCCAACAUCGUUUUCAGAUCUGUGGCUAGGCUCCUCUAAAUCUUUAUCCGCUUCGCACUCUCUCUAUUAGAGUUGGAUCUAGAGAUACUUCGCAUUGUUUUCAGAUCUGUGUUACCUCAAACCCUAGUCGCCUUGCAGCAACUUCUGGAAUAGUGAAACCUUGGAACUCGCCUUCUGCUAAAAUGGAUUUUGGCAAGAAUUUCAAUACAAGAAGGUGGACUUUGGCAAUGGUGUACCUGUGAAAACUUCAGUGGAACCUAAAGUAUCUGAGGAAGGGCUUCUUGAUGCUAUUCAGUAGGAUUACUUCCCAUCUGCCUCCAUAGAGAGUUUUGAAUUACCUCUUUCAGAAUAAAAAAGGGUUGGGUCUGAAGGAAAGCGACUAGUCAUCAUUGAUGAUUAUAUAGGCUGCAGUAAGGAGGUAUAGGAAUUGCUACUAUGAUAAUUGGCAGACCUCAUGAAAAGGAGCUUAUCCGUUAUCUCCAAUUUGGACUAUGGUGGCUGGCUCUUGGUGUAGCAUCAUCAAUUGGUCUUGGUAAUUGCUCCUCUUAUGCAGCAUGCCCCGACCAAGUUUGGGAGGUUAGAUUAUGUUAAAAGGUCUACUCGGCUGGACAGGUACCAUUGCCCAGAUCGUGAGAAUCGAACCCCGCUGAGAUUUUAGCUGAUCUUAUAUCUGUUGACUACAGCUUUGCUGAAAGUGUCUACUCCUCUCAGAAAAGAAAGAUGCUCUUGUUGAAUCAUUUUCACAACAAUCAUCACUAGUUCUGUAUGCAACUCCGAUUACAUUAAGGGAAAUCUCCAAGAACAGCACCGGGUUGAGCAGGAAGAGUAGAGUUUAGAAGAAGGGAGGUUGGUGGAGGCAAUUCUGGUUGCUCCUAAGGCUUGCGUGGAUGCAGCCUAAGCAGAGUGGCUUCCUUAUACAGGUUUUGCAUUUCCUUUUUUUCUUUUCAUAUGGCAAACAAAGGGAAAUGAAAGGUAAAUCAUAUGUCCUGCUUUUUAUAAAUGAAACUGUGAAUUGAUUAGACCACAGUGCAGUACUAAACCAACUUGAACUGAUCGGGCACUAUAGCCUUGAACGGAUCGAUUGUCAUUUUCAGGAGGAUAUGGGGCAGAUGCAGACAACGAUUCAACUACCUUUUGUAACUUUCAGUAUGCUAAAGAACAGCUUGAGUAAUUCAUAGUUUGUUCGAUUCAACAUAGUAUAAAUAUGUUAUGUGAUUUGGUGUAGUUUAUGUAUACCAGACUAGAAUGUUUAUGAGUGGCAUUUUGUAUGUUUAUGACAUUUUGUAUUGCACCAUUUCAUUAGUUUUAUUGUAAGUUUACAAUGUUAAUAUAUCUUAAUAACUUUUGCAUGUUCUUAA
Molecule: long non-coding RNA, 1432 nt
Organism: Rosa rugosa (rugosa rose)
Lineage: Eukaryota; Viridiplantae; Streptophyta; Magnoliopsida; Rosales; Rosaceae
Exons: 10
Source: RefSeq, a predicted model, not a curated record